RNAcentral lists this unclassified non-coding RNA (215 nucleotides) under uncultured fungus. Its description in RNAcentral is "partial contains 18S rRNA, ITS1, 5.8S rRNA, ITS2 and 28S rRNA". The record is from RNAcentral. Lineage: Eukaryota; Fungi.
AAGGAUCAUUAGUGAAUAUUAGGGCGUCUACUUCGGUAGGGCCUGACCUCCACUUUCUAACUCUGUGCACUUAUUUGGCGGAAAAGGGAAUUAGUAAUCUGUCUAAUGACGGUUGCGACUUCUUACUUUCUGCGGCUUACUUUAAACACUAGUCAAAGUAUGUAACGAAAUAUCGAAACAAAUAAAAACUUUCAACAACGGAUCUCUUGGCUCUC